Molecule: ribosomal RNA, 495 nt
Filed under: uncultured bacterium
Lineage: Bacteria
Description: partial 16S ribosomal RNA
Rfam family: Bacterial small subunit ribosomal RNA
Source: RNAcentral
GACGAACGCUGGCGGCGUGCCUAAUACAUGCAAGUAGAACGCUGAAGGAGGAGCUUGCUUCUCUGGAUGAGUUGCGAACGGGUGAGUAACGCGUAGGUAACCUGCCUGGUAGCGGGGGAUAACUAUUGGAAACGAUAGCUAAUACCGCAUAAGAGUAGAUGUCGCAUGACAUUUGCUUAAAAGGUGCAAUUGCAUCACUACCAGAUGGACCUGCGUUGUAUUAGCUAGUUGGUGAGGUAACGGCUCACCAAGGCAACGAUACAUAGCCGACCUGAGAGGGUGAUCGGCCACACUGGGACUGAGACACGGCCCAGACUCCUACGGGAGGCAGCAGUAGGGAAUCUUCGGCAAUGGACGGAAGUCUGACCGAGCAACGCCGCGUGAGUGAAGAAGGUUUUCGGAUCGUAAAGCUCUGUUGUAAGAGAAGAACGAGUGUGAGAGUGGAAAGUUCACACUGUGACGGCAUCUUACCAGAAAGGGACGGCUAACUACGUG